CGGGGCGUGGCGCAGUCUGGUAGCGCACCUGGUUUGGGACCAGGGGGUCGCAGGUUCGAAUCCUGCUGCCCCGACCA
RNAcentral lists this transfer RNA (77 nucleotides) under Breoghania sp. L-A4. Its description in RNAcentral is "tRNA-Pro". It matches the Rfam family "tRNA". Rfam says of the family: Transfer RNA (tRNA) molecules are approximately 80 nucleotides in length. Their secondary structure includes four short double-helical elements and three loops (D, anti-codon, and T loops). The record is from RNAcentral. Lineage: Bacteria; Pseudomonadati; Pseudomonadota; Alphaproteobacteria; Hyphomicrobiales; Stappiaceae. RNAcentral also lists the same sequence under 1 other name.